Molecule: ribosomal RNA, 226 nt
Filed under: uncultured bacterium
Lineage: Bacteria
Description: partial 16S ribosomal RNA
Rfam family: Bacterial small subunit ribosomal RNA
Source: RNAcentral
GCGUUAUCCGGAAUGAUUGGGCGUAAAGCGUCCGCAGGUGGCUUUGUAAGUCUGCUGUUAAAGAGUGAGGCUCAACCUCAUAAAAGCAGUGGAAACUACAUAGCUUGAGUACGUUCGGGGCAGAGGGAAUUCCUGGUGUAGCGGUGAAAUGCGUAGAGAUCAGGAAGAACACCGGUGGCGAAAGCGCUCUGCUAGGCCGUAACUGACACUGAGGGACGAAAGCUAG